RNAcentral lists this ribosomal RNA (301 nucleotides) under uncultured bacterium. Its description in RNAcentral is "partial 16S ribosomal RNA". It matches the Rfam family "Bacterial small subunit ribosomal RNA", at positions 509 to 807 of the family's 1533-position model. The record is from RNAcentral.
CAGUCGCCGCGGUAAUACGGAGGGGGCUAGCGUUGUUCGGAAUUACUGGGCGUAAAGCGCACGUAGGCGGCUUGGUAAGUUAGAGGUGAAAGCCUGGAGCUCAACUCCAGAAUUGCCUUUAAGACUGCCGAGUUAGCAGGUGAGAGAGGUAAGUGGAAUUCCGAGUGUAGAGGUGAAAUUCGUAGAUAUUCGGAAGAACACCAGUGGCGAAGGCGGCUUACUGGCUCAUACUGGACGCUGAGGUGCGAAAGCGUGGGGAGCAAACAGGAUUAGAUACCCCGGUAGUCCCUGUCUCUUAUAC